Molecule: transfer RNA, 57 nt
Filed under: Dipodomys ordii (Ord's kangaroo rat)
Lineage: Eukaryota; Metazoa; Chordata; Mammalia; Rodentia; Heteromyidae
Rfam family: tRNA
About the family: Transfer RNA (tRNA) molecules are approximately 80 nucleotides in length.
Source: Rfam by way of RNAcentral
UGGCUCAGUGAUAGAGUGCUUGUCUUGCAUACAUGAGGCCUUAGGUUCGAUUCCUCA